UUGUGACCUAUUACAAUCAGCUGCAUGAGGUGGAAGAGAAAAUGCCCUGCAAGCACUUUGAUCUCAACGUCACUUUUGAAGGAUCCAGCGAAAAGCCUCCAGCAGAUGUAGAAAAGUCAGACAAGAUCAAGUAGUUGUUGUUGUUAUACGUGUACACGACUGUGCAAAAUGUUAGAUCGGCAGCAGUAUCGACUACCUUAUUACAAAUUGCAGGGCACAGUUUCACAGCUUUGGGUAGUUCAAAAUAUCUUGUGCCAGUUCCUCUGUGGACUGACACUCUGUACAUUAUCUGAUAGGUACUUUAUUCAUUCCCUUAGGGAGAUUCAAGGUAUGCAUGAGCUCACGUGUUACAUAGAAGAUAGAGGGCCACUGUGCCAAUGAGCAUGCAACAGACAUCCCAAAUCUGCCUAAAAUGCUGGUAUUUACAGAGGUGAGCUUAAAAAACUGUUAAUAUUUACAAUAAAGUGCAAAUCGGUGUUAUUUGCAAUAAAAAUAGAGCAUGAUAAGAGUUCAUAAUACAAUAAAUAUAGCAUUUGAAGUACAAACGAUGUCAGAGCUCUGUGGAAGAACAUCUGUUGGUCUGCAGAUGCAGGUACAUCUGUUAGUCUGCUGCUGCGGGUAGUUCUUCAUGGAUUCUUGGUGUGCCUCAGUAAAGACCGAUUCCUCUGGUUUUUCUUUCAGACUCAUUUUAAAAUGCUGCUGCUCACAUGCUCAAAGACUUUAAUCUGAUCAGUGACUGAUUGUACGUUAUGCCUUUACAUGAACAAUGUGACAGCAGCUGAUUAUAGUCGUAUAGUCAUCGUGCCCUUUGUCAGUGCUGUUCUUUUUCUCAUUCACAGCAGGGCUCUAGGACCCGGAGACGUCAGGAUGGUGGUUCUUGAUAUCAGUCUACCAACUGGAUUCACCCCAGAAAACUCUGACCUGGAGAUGCUGUCCAAUUCAGUGCAUCGUUACAUCAGUAACUUCCAGAUUGUAGACAACCUGAGUGACAGAGGCUCCCUGAUCAUUCACCUGUUCAAAGUAACAUCACUGUAUUUAUAAUUAUUAUUCUAUAUCAUAUCAUUUUAUGUUAUUCAUAUGCUUUUCUUUUUUUUCCCAAGAAGCAGGUUUCUCAAUGCUCAGUAAAUAAGUCAUUAUGACCACAGUCAACAAUCUGAGUCAGUUUUAGGCUAUUACACAAAACCGGCUUAUUGGUACCAAAGCCACGGUUCAGAACUCAGACUUGCUAAAUCGGUGUUGGUGUCGUGCAGUGUAGGGCUGCAGCCGGAGUACUGACGAUAGUUAGCAAGAGAGAUCAUAUUUCUCCUAUGCUGGUUUCUCUUCAUUGGCUUCCUGUGAAAUGUAGAAUAGAAUUCAAAAUCCUUCUUCUGACAUAUAAAGCUCUAACAACCAAUCUCCAUCAUAUCUUAAAGACCUGAUGGUACCAUAUUAUCCUAGCAGAACUCUUCGCUCUCAGACUGCAGGCUUACUUGGAGAAGCGACCUGUAACUUCUAUCUAAAAGUAGAAUGGGAGGCAGAGCCUUCAGUUAUCAGCUCCUCUCCUGUGGAACCAGCUCCCAGUUUGGGUUCCGGAGGCGGACACCCUCUCUAAUUUUAAGACCAGGCUUAAAACCUUCCUUUUUGACAAAUCUUAUAGUUAGGACUGACUGGGGGACCCCGAGGGGGUCAGCUGGAGUCUUCCUCUUGGACGUCCCUUAGUUCUGCCCCUAGUUCUGCUGCUACAGGCCUAGGCUGCUGGAGGACCUCUCUGGAUGCACUGAGCCCUU
Long non-coding RNA from Amphiprion ocellaris (clown anemonefish), 1766 nucleotides. RefSeq lists it as uncharacterized. The transcript has 3 exons. The record is from RefSeq and is a predicted model, not a curated record. NCBI's taxonomy places the organism in Eukaryota, Metazoa, Chordata, Actinopteri, Pomacentridae.